AGAGUGAACGCUGGCGGUAGGCCUAACACAUGCAAGUCGAACGGCAGCACAGUAGGAGCUUGCUCUUACGGGUGGCGAGUGGCGGACGGGUGAGGAAUACAUCGGAAUCUACCUUUUGGUGGGGGAUAACGUAGGGAAACUUACGCUAAUACCGCAUACGCCCUUCGGGGGAAAGCCGGGGACCAGCAAUGGCCUGGCGCUGAUAGAUGAGCCGAUAUCGAGUA
RNAcentral lists this ribosomal RNA (224 nucleotides) under uncultured soil bacterium. RNAcentral describes it as "partial 16S ribosomal RNA". It matches the Rfam family "Bacterial small subunit ribosomal RNA", at positions 26 to 242 of the family's 1533-position model. The record is from RNAcentral.